CCCACCCAUACCCCAAUAGCCCUCACUGCAGAGAGACCCCAAAUACUACCCAUAGCCCCCUAUUCUGAUAUAUCCUACCCAUACCUCCAUCCAAUAUGCCCCACCCAUAAUCCAUUCACCCUCACUGCAGAGACAGCUCAUUACAUCCCAAUACCACUCAUAGCCCCUCACCCUGAUACACCCUACCCAUACCCCAAUAACCUCCACUGUAGAGAUCCCAUUACACCCAUUCACACCCCCAAUAACCCCACUGCAUAGAGACCCCGAUUACACCUGAUACUCAGAUGGCCUCCCCCAAUAGCCCCCACCCAUACCCCAAUCUCCACUGCAUAUAGACUCCCAGAGGUCCCACUCCAAUAUGCUCCACCCAUAUCGCCAUAACUCCUACUGCUUAGAGACCCUCGUAGUCCCUACCCUGAUACACCCUAUCCAUACCUCCAAUAACCCCACUAUGCAGAGACCCUCCAGUAUACCCAAUACCGCUCGUAGAUUCCACCCUGAUAUGCCCCCUUUACCCCCUUCAAUAAACCCCCUUCUUAGAGAACCCCAACCCAAUAUGCCACUCCCAGUAGCCCAUAGUGCUCUGGGGCAGUGGCUCACUGGGGUGGGGGAUGGGAGGAGUGUGGAGAGAUGCCUACCCCACAUAGUCCCUACUGCAGAGACACCCAUUACACCCACAUAUCCCCAAUAUCCCCUAUACCCCCACCCCAAUACCACAUGCAUAGGGGGCUUUGGGGAUAGCUCUCUGUGGGGAGAGGACACAGGCAGAUUCCAGAGAAAGACACCCUCCUUCUGCCAACUCCCCAUAUCCCGCACUGCACAGACAUCCCUCUAUGCCACCUCCCACCCCCAGUGCCAUGUGGUGUUCCAGGGGAUGGCUGGGGGUAGCUCACUGCAGGGGGAGAUCACUCCCACAGCACCACAUCCAUCUUCCUCCAACAACUCCCCCGACACGAAGACUCUCCAUCCUCCACCUCCAAAUGCCCAUAGUGCUUGGCAGGGCAGGGUGAGAAGAGACACCCCUUUUUCCCACCCCCAUAACAUAGGGAAACCCCAGUUACCCCAAAUACCCCCAAUACCUACGCUACUCCGGGAGAUGGCGUACCUCACUGAAGGGGGAGGGGUGUGGGGGAAUAUACUCCCACCUUUCCCCCAUUGCCAAC
Molecule: long non-coding RNA, 1163 nt
Filed under: Gopherus agassizii (Agassiz's desert tortoise)
Lineage: Eukaryota; Metazoa; Chordata; Testudines; Testudinidae
Description: lncRNA (ENSGAGG00000019181.1)
Source: RNAcentral